UGAGGGAUGACGGCUAYGGGUUGUAAACUCUUUUUUCAGGGARGAAUAAAUGACGUGUACCUGAAGAAUAAGCAUCSGCUAACUCCGUGCCAGCAGCCGCGGUAAGACGGAGGAUGCAAGUGUUAUCCGGAAUCACUGGGCGUAAAGCGUCUGUAGGUKGUUUAAUAAGUCAACUGUUAAAUCUUAAGGCUCAACCUUGAAAUCGCAGUCGAAACUAUUAGACUAGAGUAUAGUAGGGGUAAAGGGAAUUUCCAGUGGAGCGGUGAAAUGCGUAGAUAUUGGAAAGAACACCGRUGGCGAAGGCACUUUACUGGGCUAUUACUAACACUCAGAGACGAAAGCUAGGGUAGCMAAUGGGAUUAGAUACCCCAGUAGUCCUAGCCGUAAACCAAUGGAUACUAGAUGUUGAACAGAUCGACCUGUGCAGUAUCAAASSUAACGCGUUAAGUAUCCCGCCUGGGAAGUAUGCUCGCCAGARUU
This 480-nucleotide ribosomal RNA is filed under the name uncultured bacterium. RNAcentral describes it as "bacterial SSU rRNA". It matches the Rfam family "Bacterial small subunit ribosomal RNA", at positions 402 to 896 of the family's 1533-position model. The record is from RNAcentral.